CUAAAGGUUCUUUUUAGAGCCAUUCAUUUUCCAAACAGAACUGAC
Erinaceus europaeus (western European hedgehog) is the source of this 45-nucleotide non-coding RNA. The record is from Rfam. NCBI's taxonomy places the organism in Eukaryota, Metazoa, Chordata, Mammalia, Eulipotyphla, Erinaceidae.